GCAUCCAUAGCUCAAUUGGAUAGAGCGGCUGACUACGGAUCAGCAGGUUUGGGGUUCGAAUCCCUAUGGAUGCACCA
RNAcentral lists this transfer RNA (77 nucleotides) under Lentisphaerota bacterium. Its description in RNAcentral is "Lentisphaerae bacterium tRNA-Arg". It matches the Rfam family "tRNA". Rfam says of the family: Transfer RNA (tRNA) molecules are approximately 80 nucleotides in length. Their secondary structure includes four short double-helical elements and three loops (D, anti-codon, and T loops). Lineage: Bacteria; Pseudomonadati; Lentisphaerota. The record is from RNAcentral. RNAcentral also lists the same sequence under 1 other name.